Molecule: transfer RNA, 68 nt
Filed under: bovine gut metagenome
Rfam family: tRNA
About the family: Transfer RNA (tRNA) molecules are approximately 80 nucleotides in length. Their secondary structure includes four short double-helical elements and three loops (D, anti-codon, and T loops). Further hydrogen bonds mediate the characteristic L-shaped molecular structure. tRNAs have two regions of fundamental functional importance: the anti-codon, which is responsible for specific mRNA codon recognition, and the 3' end, to which the tRNAs corresponding amino acid is attached (by aminoacyl-tRNA synthetases). tRNAs cope with the degeneracy of the genetic code in two manners: having more than one tRNA (with a specific anti-codon) for a particular amino acid; and 'wobble' base-pairing, i.e. permitting non-standard base-pairing at the 3rd anti-codon position.
Source: RNAcentral
UGAUGUAGCUCAGUAGGUAGAGCGUCGCCUUGGUAAGGCGGAGGUCACGGGUUCAAGUCCCGCCAUCA